Small nucleolar RNA from Lethenteron reissneri (Far Eastern brook lamprey), 92 nucleotides. RefSeq annotates it as small nucleolar SNORD12/SNORD106. Lineage: Eukaryota; Metazoa; Chordata; Hyperoartia; Petromyzontiformes; Petromyzontidae. The record is from RefSeq and is a predicted model, not a curated record.
UGGCUGGCGGAUGAUGACGUCACUUUUUUCCCCAUCUGACCGACAGUGCAGAUGUCUUUAAACUUUAAGCCAAUAAAGACUGACGCCAGCCA